Hydra vulgaris (swiftwater hydra) is the source of this 422-nucleotide non-coding RNA. The record is from RefSeq and is a predicted model, not a curated record. NCBI's taxonomy places the organism in Eukaryota, Metazoa, Cnidaria, Hydrozoa, Anthoathecata, Hydridae.
CACCCUGUAAAAUAGAAGAUUUUAAAAAAUUAUCAGAUUGCAUUUUUAUUGACGAUGAGACAUUAAUUCUUCGUUUUAUCAAUACUAGAUGGCUUACUCUUUCUUCUUCACUUAUAAAGGUUCUAUUAAGGUAGGAAGACACCAAGAAAUAUUUUUUUGUAAAAUCCGACUGCUGUUAAUGGAAAGCUUACUAAUGAUCUUUUAAAAAUUGAUUCUUCCGAUUCAACUAUCCACCUUGAUUUGAAUAAAAUGGACUUUGGCGAGGAAGCUAAAAAAUAGGUGAACAAAAUAUCAUGUGAAAAAAAAGAUAUGUCUGCUUACAGCAAAUGAGAGAUGGAUAUAUAUCUGUUGUGAAACACUUGCAAAAAAAACUUCCACUUGAUUCACAGAUAUUAAAAGAUAUGACUUGUUUGGGUGCUCAA